Long non-coding RNA from Anolis carolinensis (green anole), 8966 nucleotides. RefSeq lists it as uncharacterized. The transcript is spliced from 2 exons. The record is from RefSeq and is a predicted model, not a curated record. NCBI's taxonomy places the organism in Eukaryota, Metazoa, Chordata, Lepidosauria, Squamata, Anolidae.
CUACUGUCACGAUUCCACACGCCGCUUUCUGCCCAAGAGAGCAGGCCUCGAAAGAGCACCCCCAUGCUCUCUCCACCCCUCUCGCCCCCCCUCUCUCAGGCCCCUUCUACAUUGCCAUAUAAAACCCCAGGCCCCUUCUACACAGCUGCAUAAAAUCCCACAUUAUCUGCUUUGAACUGGGUUAUAUGGCAGCGUGGACUCCGUGUGAACUGUGAACUUCCACACAGCCAUAUAAUCCAAAAUAUCAAGGCAGAUUUUUUUUUAAUCGUGUCAAAAGCGAAUUGAGAAUAUACUGCAAGUUGCUUCUGGUGUGAGAGAAUCGGCUGUCUACAGAGACGUUACCCAGGGGACGCCCAGAUGUGUUACCAUCCUGUGGGAGGCUUCUCUCAUGUCCUUGCAUGGAAGCUGGGGCUGACAGAGGGGAGCUCACCCCAUCUCGCGGAUUUGAACCGCUGAUCUUCAGGUCAUCAGUUCAGCCAGCACAAGGUGUAAGCAAAUGCUCCACCGCAGCUCCUAUCAAGGCAGAUAAUCCGCAAUAUCUCCUUUGAAAUUGGUUAUCUGCGUCCACACGGUCAUAUAAUCAAGUUUAAGGCAGAUAUUGUGGGAUUUUAUACAGCUGUGUGGAAGGGGCCCCAGUUAAAAGCAGAUACUGUGGAUUAGCUACCUUGAUAUUCUGGGUUUUAUGGCUGUGAUAUAACCUAGAAUAUCAAGGCAGAAUAACCCAUAUCUGCUUUGAACUGGGUUAUCUGUGUCCACACUGCCACAUAAAGGUAAGGGUAAUUUUUUUCCCCUGACAUUAAGUCUAGUCGUGUCCGACUCUGGGGGUUGGUGCUCGUCUCCAUUUCAAAGCCGAAGAGCCAGUGUUGUCCGUAGGCGCCUCCUAGGUCAUGUGGCUGGCAUGACUGCACCUUCCCGUCGAAGCGGUACCUAUUGAUCUACUCACAUUUGCAUGUUUUCAAACUGUAAGGUUGGCAGAACCUGGGGCUAAUAACCGGAGCUCACUCCGCUCCCCGGAUUCGAACCGCCAACCUUUUAGUCAGCAAGUUCAGCAGCUCAAUGGUUUAAUCCGCUGCGCCACUGAGGGCUCCACACUGCCAUAUAUUCUAGUUCAAAGCAGAAAAUGUGGGAUUUUAUUCAGAUGUGUGAAAGGGGUCAUAGAUGCCUGGAGUACAUUUGAAAAAAAAGAGAGAAAGCCGUCAUAUGAAAGCUUGAGCUGCAAACUUCUUUCUCUCAGCCUAAGGGCUACCAGGUCCCUUAACAUUGGUUGGCGUUGCAAUGAGCACCAUUUAGGGCCCUUCCACACAGCCAUAUAACCCUGAAUAUCAAGGCAGAAAGGUCUGCAAUAUCUGCUUUGAACUGGGUCAUCUGAGUCCACAUAUUCCAGUUCAAAGCAGAAAAUGUGGGAUUUUAUUUGGCUUUGUGGAAAGGGCCCUAGAGUGUGGAGAUACCCCAAGAGGCGAUCCAGCCCAACUACCUUUUGCCAGGACCAGGGCCCUGCAAGGGGGCUCAUAUGUCUUUGGGGCAGAAUUCUCUUUUUUUAGCUGGAUCUGCCCCCAAAGCAUGUCCUAGAAGCACACUUUGAGAGCCGCUGUACUAGCAUAUAUGCUUGGGUGUUGCCUACUUUCUCCCUUCUCCAGCUCUGAGAAGGUCUCCCUUACAAUGUCUCCAUGGCAACUCUAUUUGGACCAACUAGAUUAUAUGAUUCUCCACUGCCAGAUAAUCUGGGAUAGGCAGAUACUCUGGGAUCAGAUCCUGGGAUAUAUGACAGUAUGGCAGGUGCCCCAGUUACAUCACAAGUAGUCACUUCAUCUAGCCACAGCCAAUAUGCUUUGUUCUUUUUCUUUCCCCCUGCUCUGGGCCCAAAAGGGGUGAGUUUUUCCCCCCGCUCAAACCCCUCAUGUAUUUUUGGUCGGACAAUGAAGGGCACAUGCGCCUACUUUGGUCCAGAUACAUCAAACCAUAUAGGAGCCUUUCUGGUGCAGACCAACAUAUAUACAUAUUUGUCUUUUAUAGAGAGAGAUUUUAAGCUUUUCAGAUAUAAAUUUUACCCAUCUUCUAAUUUAAAUUGUAAGCUGUCGUGGAUCUGUAGUGAGCACAAGUUGAAGUAUUAACAACAACGUUCCAGUAAAUACAUUUACACAAUUCUAGCCAUUGUUUUAUUGACACUAAACAUGUAUAGUACCAACCUCUGUACAUGACAUUCAUUGACCUUGCAAAGGCAUUCGACAAAGUGAAUCGCAGCACUCUCUGGACCAUCCUCCAAAAAAUCGGGUGCCCUGACAAAUUUGUGAACAUCCUUCGGCUCCUCCAUGAUGACAUGAUGGCAACAGUCUUGGACAGCAACGGCUCCCAAAGUGACCCAUUUAAGGUGGAAUCAGGUAUCAAGCAGGGAUGUGUUAUUGCCCCUACCUUAUUUUCCAUCUUCAUCGCUAUGAUACUUUACCUUGUUGAUGGGAAGCUUCCCACCAGAGUGGAAAUCAUCUAUCGGACAGAUGGCAAGCUAUUUAACCUCAGCAGAUUGAGAGCCAAAACCAAGGUCACCACAACAUCUAUUAUAGAACUCUAAUAUGCCGAUGACAACGUAGUCUGUGCGCAUUCAGAAGAAGACCUACAAGCCACUCUAAACACCUUUGCAGAAGCAUACGAGAAGCUCGGCCUCUCACUGAACAUCGAGAAAACCAAAGUGCUCUUCCAACAGGCACCAGCUAAUCCCUCUGCAAUGCCAGGAAUACAGCUUAAUGGUGUAACAUUAGAAAAUGUUGACCAUUUCCACUACCUUGGCAGCCACCUCUCCACAAAAGUCAAAAUUGACACUGAAAUACAACACCGCCUGACCUCUGCGAGUGCAGCAUUUUUCCAAAUGAAGCAGAGAGUGUUUGAUGAUCGGGACAUCCGUAGAGAUACCGAAGUGCUCGUUUAUAAAGCCAUUGUCCUACCAACCCUGCUCUAUGUCUGCGAAACGUGGACAGUCUACAGAUGCCACACUCAACUCCUGGAGCGUUUCCAUCAGCGUUGCCUCAGAAAAAUCCUACAAAUCUCUUGGGAAGACAGGCGGACAAAUGUCAGCGUGCUUGAGGAAGCAAAGACCACCAGAAUUGAAGUGAUGCUCCUACACCAUCAACUCCGCUGGACUGGCCACGUUGUCCGAAUGCCCGAUCACUGUCUCCCAAAGCAGCUACUCUACUCCGAACUCAAGAACCGGAAAUGUAAUGUUGGUGGGCAGGAAAAGAGAUUUAAAGAUGGGCUUAAAGCCAACCUUAAAAACUGUGGCAUAGACACAGAACUGGGAAGCCGUGUCCCUUGAGCACUCUAAUUGGAGGUCAGCUGUGACCAGCAGUGCUGCGGAGUUCGAAGAGGCACGAAUGGAGGGCUUAAGGGAGAAACUUGCCAAGAGGAAGGAGCGUCAAGCCAACCCUGACUGGGACCGCCUUCCACCUGGAAACCAAUGUCCUCACUACGGUAGAACAUGCGGGUCAAGAAUACGUCUCUUCAGCCACCUACAGACCCACCCCCAAGACACUAGAAAUGGAAGAAUCGUCCUCGACCUACGAGGGAUCGCCUAAGUAAAGUUCCAGAAGAACUAUGGACAGAAGUCCACAACAUUGUUCAGGAGGCACCAACAAAGUACGUCCCAAAGAAAAAGAAAACCAAGAAGGCAACAUGGUUGUCUGCUGAGACACUGGAAGUAGCCCAAGAAAGAAGGAAGGCGAAAGGAAACAGCAAUAAGGGGAGAUAUGCACAAUUAAACACACAAUUCCAGAGGCUAGCCAGAAGAGACAAAGAACUAUUGUUAAACAAGCAAUGCAUGGAAGUGGAAGAAGACAACAGAAUAGGAAAUACAAGAGACCUCUUCCAGAAAAUCAGAAACAUCGGAGGCAAAUUUCAGGCAAAAAUGGGCAUGAUCAAAAACAAAGAGGGCAGGGACCUAACAGAAGCUGAAGAGAUCAAGAAAAGGUGGCGAGAAUAUACAGAAGAUCUGUAUAGGAAGGAUAAUAAUAUAUAGCUUUGAUGGUGUGGUGAGUGAAUUACAACCAGACAUCCUGAGGAGUGAGGUUGAAUGGGCCUUAAGAAGCAUUGCUAAUAAUAAGGCAGUAGGAAACAACGGUGUCCCAGCUGAGUUGUUUAAAAUCUUGGAAGGUGAUACUGUCAAGGUGAUGUAUGCCAUAUGCCAGCAAAUAUGAAAAACACAAGAUUGGCCAUCAGAUUGGAAAAAAUCAAUUUAUAUCCCCAUACCCAAAAAAAGGAAACGCUAAAGAAUGCUCAAACUUCCGUACAGUGGCACUUAUUUCCCAUGCCAGUAAGGUAAUGCUCAAGAUCCUGCAAAGCAGACUCCAGCAAUACAUGGAGCGAGAGUUGCCAGAUAUCCAAGCUGGGUUCAGAAAAGGCAGAGGAACCAGAGACCAAAUUGCCAAUAUCCGCUGGAUAAUGGAGGAAGCCAGGGAGUUCCAGAAAAACAUCUACUUCUGCUUUAUUGACUAUUCUAAAGCCUUUGACUGUGUGGAUCAUAAUAAACUAUGGCAUGUUCUUGGUGGUAUGGGGAUACCAAGUCACCUUGUCUGUCUCCUGAGAAAUCUGUAUAAAGACCAAGUAGCCACAGUAAGAACAGACCACGGAACAACAGACUGAUUCAAGAUUGGGAAAGGAGUGCGGCAGGGCUGCAAACUUUCACCCUCCCUAUUCAACUUGUACGCAGAACACAUUAUGCAACGUCCGGGGCUUGACGAUUCCAAGGCCGGAGUUAAAAUUGCUGGAAGAAACAUUAACAAUCUUAGGUAUGCAGAUUAUACCACUCUGAUGGCCAAAAGUAAGGAAGAGCUGAGGAGCCUUAUCACCAAGGUGAAAGAAGAAAGUGCAAAAGCUGGGUUGCAGUUAAACAUCAAGAAAACCGAGAUCAUGGGAACUACACCUAUUGAUAACUGGCAAAUAGAAGGAGAAAGCAUGGAGGCAGUGACAGACUUUAUAUUUCUAGGCGCGAAGAUCACUGCAGAUGCAGACUGCAGCCAGGAAAUCAGAAGACGUUUACUUCUUGGGAGGAGAGCAAUGGCCAACCUCGAUAAAAUAGUGAAAAGCAGAGACAUCACACUGGCAGCAAAGGUCCGCAUAGUUAAAGCAAUGGUAUUCCCAUAGUAACCUAUGGCUGCGAGAGGUGGACCCUAAGGAAGGCUGAGCGAAGGAGGAUAAACGCUUUUGAACUCUGGUGCUGGAGGAAAAUCCUGAGAGUGCCUUGGACCGCAAGAAGAUCCAACCAGUCCAUUCUCCAGGAAAUAAUGCCCGGCUGCUCACUGGAGGGAAGGAUAUUAGAGGCAAAGUUGAAGUAUUUUGGCCACAUCAUGAGGAGACAGGAAAGCUUGGAAAAGAUCAUGAUGCUGGGGAAAAUGGAAGGAAAAAGGAAGAGAGGCCGACCAAGGGCGAGAUGGAUGGACGGUAUCCUUGAAGUGACUGGCUUGACCUUGAAGGAACUGGGGGCGGCGACGGCCGAUAGGGAGCUCUGGCCUGGACUGGGCCAUGAGAUCAGGAAGAGUCGGAAACGACUAUGCGACAGAGAGAGAGAGGGAGAAAUGAUAUUCACAUUAGCAAAAAACACAGGAAGGAAAGAAGUUUUCUCUAUUGGUUCAUGUUAAGGAAACACUAAAUUGGGUAGACAGUGAAUGUGUUGUUACCUAAUGAGGAAGGAGGUCUGAGAUGGGUUGGUAUCUAGCAUACUCAAUAGUGAGGAUUGCUAGAAGUUGCAGCUCAGCAUAAUAUGGAGGGCUUUGUCUGUCCUAAGGCAACAUGAAGCAACAUGCCAGUAGGCCCUUCACACUAUGGAAUUACAGUGCUGUUAUUCCACUUUAACUGUGAUAGUUCAAUGGUAUGGAAUCCUGCCAAUUGCAGUUUAGGAAAUUGUGACAGAGAACUCUAGUGCCUCAUGAAACUACAAAGCCGAGUUGGAGCCAGGGCAAUUAAAGGGGACCCAUAACACUAUAAUUCUGUAACAUGAAUGGGCUCCAGCUUUCCUUACACUUAAGUCUGACUACUAACUUCAUCUGCAUUAGUGGUCGCAGGAAUGUAGGUGACAACACCAAAAGAUUGGUUGAACUUCACUAGUUCAUUUUGGUAGGUUUUUUAAAAAGCCUUAAUUGGCUUGUUUAUCUCUGGACAUAAUUCCAGGAAAUGGAACAGAAUGCCAGAAAACCAUCUGUUAUCCUAUAACAAGGGUAUUCCUUAAUAUUGUCAAAAUAUUGGUAGGAAAUGUGAAGGCACCCCAACACAACGACGAUGAUGACUAUGACAACAACAAAGCCCACAUUCUUUUAUCUGUUUUUUUUUAAUCUUUAAAAAAUCUAUUCUGAGUCCCCCAAAUUAGUCCCAACACCUCCUGAAAAUGGCUAGAAGUGAUGGAAUUAUAUUUCUGGUUAUCCAAAAUGGUGGCCAUGGCACAGUUACAGAGGAGUCAAAAUACUUACACACACCCCACACACCCCACACACACACACACACACACCUGCCUGGAACAUGCCCCCCCCCAACUUCACCCAUUCUUUUUUUUUUUUAAGUUAGGAGAUAGUGCUAUGAUCUAAUAACCUGCUGAUGGAAAUCUCCCCAGGAACAUUCAAGUGAACAGUAAUUAUCAUCUCUCUUUGUUUUGUUUCAACAUACACACACAAUGUAUAUACACAGAAUAUAGAAGGAGAAAAUCACAGUACUGUAAUUCUUUCUUUCAGUUGAAACAUUUAUAAUGGGAUCUCAAUGUGUGGCUGUCUGCUUUCAUUAUCUUUAAUGUUCUUACUGCUGUUUACUGCUUUUUCUGCUUAUUACGUUUCUUUCUGAUGCUGCUUUUUUGCAAUUUUUAUGUUUUUCUUCAUUAUUUUAGUUUGAUUCCUUAUUAUUAGCUUUUCUGUAAACAUUCAUUUAGAAAGCUGGAACAGAAAUGAUUCCAUGUAAUAUAUAAAUAACAUAAAUUGCUUUGACAGUUGCACUGAGGGGAGUAUGAAUUCAAAAUGUUCUGCUCCUGGGCCAUGAGACAAAUAUGCAUCAAUUAACACAAAAACUCGAGAUGCCUUUAUGUCCUAGAAGGUACAGUUUAUAUGCCACAUUUGUGGUGCAUACAUAGUCACCCAAGUGGUUUAAAGGGGGCAUUUAUAGUCAGCUUUGGAAGUUCGGGAGAUAUUUUCUCUAUUUAGAGAGUCUGAAAAGAAAUUAAAUAAAUUGUACAUUACAUUGCAUGACAUAACAAUGCUCAAAAGUCCAGAAAAUAAGCACCAUCAAUACAUUGCUUCUUAAAAGAACAGUCAAACCCUCACAUUUGCUGGGAUUAGGAGCACAGGACCACUAUGAAAGUGAAAAACUGCAAAUAAAAAUAGUUAUUACCACCAAAGAUAAUACUUCUCUAGGAUUCUGGAUCCUCCAGCAUGGUUCUAUGGUCGACUUCAGCCAGAUAGCCAUGAGAUUUAUAGAGAAGUUGACCACAGAAGGAUCUAGAAGGAGCAUUUUAAUCAAAUCCGCAAAAGUUAAAUUCACAAAUGUGAAAGGCCGAUUAUCAGCUACAUUUAAACAGUAGGAUUUCAAACUCUACAGCAAGCCCACACAUUUUUUAAAAAACAAAAAGACUGUCACGAAAUCCUUAAAUUACUUAAAGGAAGCCAGUUUCUCUAAAAUAGUUGUAGGUGGCAAUUCUGAGCAGCCUUUUUAUCAGAUUGCACUGUUAACCUCUGAUAUGGCAAUUGCAUUCUCUCCUUUAGCAGUGGAAAACAAGUGGUCCUCCAGAUGCUGUUGAAUAACAAAUCCCAGCAGUACACCAUAGUCCAUGAAAAAAAACUUUAUCAAAUACUGGGAGCCACAAUCCAUCAACAGGAGAGUCACAUGAUUUCCAUCACUAGUCUAUAGGAAUAUGGAAACUGUGAACACAUAAGAGAUAAUGUCACAAUCCUGACUGAUGCACACAUAUAGGUCUGUCCUGACCCUUGGUUUGUCAUCCCAGACUCAAAUGGAUACCAACAUUUGAGUCAUGGAUGACAUUUGUUUAUAUAGAGAAUUUCCUUAAUAUUUGUUUAUACAUCUUAGGUAGUGAUGAUGGUAAUGGAGAUAUACAUAUACUUCCCUCCCCAUUAGCUUACAAUAUCAGAAGAAAAAUCCAUGGAGAAAAGCUACAGCUACUUCAUCCAUACAUCUGUCUUGAUCUUAAAAUCACCCCACACCUACUCUAUACAUGAUUAGAUAAUCUCUAGGUUGAAACCCAGGAUCGUCAAUUCCCAUACCAAAGAACCAUAUUUAUUUUAAAAAUAAAAUCUUGUAAUGACUAUGUAUAAACUUAUCCUUACUUAACAUGAUGGAUUUAGCUGUUUUACUGAAUACAGUACACUUUAAUGAAAAAAUGAGGAAAAAUGUUGAUUUCUUUCUUUAUUCUUAUUUACCAAUGCCUUGAAUAUACAUGCAACUUAUUGCUUAGACAUUAUUGCAGUUACCUGACAAAAUCAGCCUACAUAAAGAUAUACAGAGAGAAAGGUUUUCAAAUAUUGGUGAAGCAUAAAUUCGUUUCAAUUACUCUUGUUACAAACAAUAUUAAAGAAUAACCUAACAGAGGGGAACUUCUUACUAAAGUUAGAAAAUGGCUCAACCACUGUAAUCAACAGUACUGCCCCAACUUCUUGUGCCAUUAUCACCAGAGGGUAUCAACUUAGUACUGUUGCAUGCUUUUGAUUCAGCGUAUUAAGAUUCACAGUUAACAUCUUCAUUCCUUGCAUUGUUUUCAUCAAACUUUGUGCUUAGAUUUAAUCAGGCCUCUUAUCUUGGAAUCUGUUGUACCACUUUUUAAGACGGACUUCACAAGUCAGCAGGGCAUCCCAUUGUACUCAUUUUAUUUUUGUGAACUGAAAUAAAAUCUUUUAAAAGCUAAGGUUGAUGAUGCAGAAUAUAUGCUGCCUGGUAUACUUGGUAUCUUAUUAAACAUGCAUUUGAAAGGAAUAAGAUGUGUUUGGAUCACAUUU